ACGAACGCUGGCGGCGUGCUUAACACAUGCAAGUCGAACGGUGAAGCGCCUUCCUUUUUGGUGGGUGUGGAUGAGUGGCGAACGGGUGAGUAACACGUGAGUAACCUGCCCCCUUCUUCUGGAUAACCGCAUGAAAGUGUGGCUAAUACGGGAUAUUCUGGGUCUGUCGCAUGAUGGGUCUGGGAAAGAUAUUGUUUCGGUGGGGGAUGGGCUCGCGGCCUAUCAGGUUGUUGGUGGGGUGUUGGCCUACCAAGGCGGUGACGGGUAGCCGGCCUGAGAGGGUGGACGGUCACACUGGGACUGAGACACGGCCCAGACUCCUACGGGAGGCAGCAGUGGGGAAUAUUGCACAGUGGGCGCAAGCCUGAUGCAGCGACGCCGCGUGAGGGAUGGAGGCCUUCGGGUUGUGAACCUCUUUCGCCAGUGAAGCAGGCCUGCCUCGUUUGUGGGUGGGUUGACGGUAGCUGGAUAAGAAGCGCCGGCUAACUACGUG
RNAcentral lists this ribosomal RNA (493 nucleotides) under uncultured bacterium. Its description in RNAcentral is "partial 16S ribosomal RNA". It matches the Rfam family "Bacterial small subunit ribosomal RNA", at positions 29 to 507 of the family's 1533-position model. The record is from RNAcentral.